AGUGAACGCUGGCGGUAGGCCUAACACAUGCAAGUCGAACGGCAGCACAGUAAGAGCUUGCUCUUACGGGUGGCGAGUGGCGGACGGGUGAGGAAUACAUCGGAAUCUACUUUUUCGUGGGGGAUAACGUAGGGAAACUUACGCUAAUACCGCAUACGACCUACGGGUGAAAGCAGGGGAUCUUCGGACCUUGCGCGAUUGAAUGAGCCGAUGUCGGAUUAGCUAGUUGGCGGGGUAAAGGCCCACCAAGGCGACGAUCCGUAGCUGGUCUGAGAGGAUGAUCAGCCAACCUGGAAAUGAGAACGGGUCCAGACCCCUACGGAGGGAAGCAGUGGGAAAUUUGGGACAAGGGGCGCAAGCCUGACCCAGCCAUCCCGGGUGGGUGAAGAAGGCCUUGGGGUUGUAAAGCCCUUUUGUUGGGAAAGAAAAGCAGCAGGUUAAUACCCCGCUGUUCUGACGGUACCCAAAGAAUAAGCACCGGCUAACUUCGU
This 491-nucleotide ribosomal RNA is filed under the name uncultured bacterium. RNAcentral's name for it is "partial 16S ribosomal RNA". It matches the Rfam family "Bacterial small subunit ribosomal RNA", at positions 29 to 506 of the family's 1533-position model. The record is from RNAcentral.